GCCACUGUAGCUCAGUUGGUCAGAGCAUCCGACUCAUAAUCGGCUGGUCGUGGGUUCAAGCCCCACCAGUGGCCCCA
This 77-nucleotide transfer RNA is filed under the name Stutzerimonas stutzeri. RNAcentral's name for it is "Pseudomonas stutzeri tRNA-Ile". It matches the Rfam family "tRNA". Rfam says of the family: Transfer RNA (tRNA) molecules are approximately 80 nucleotides in length. Their secondary structure includes four short double-helical elements and three loops (D, anti-codon, and T loops). The record is from RNAcentral. Lineage: Bacteria; Pseudomonadati; Pseudomonadota; Gammaproteobacteria; Pseudomonadales; Pseudomonadaceae.